UGGUUGCAUGGGCUUGACUGUUUAU
This 25-nucleotide non-coding RNA is filed under the name Rattus norvegicus (Norway rat). Lineage: Eukaryota; Metazoa; Chordata; Mammalia; Rodentia; Muridae. The record is from RNAcentral.